This 254-nucleotide ribosomal RNA is filed under the name uncultured bacterium. RNAcentral's name for it is "partial 16S ribosomal RNA". It matches the Rfam family "Bacterial small subunit ribosomal RNA", at positions 524 to 776 of the family's 1533-position model. The record is from RNAcentral.
UACGUAGGGGGCAAGCGUUGUCCGGAUUCAUUGGGCGUAAAGAGCUCGUAGGCGGUUCGGCAAGUCGGGUGUGAAAACUCCAGGCUCAACCUGGAGACGCCACCCGAUACUGCUGUGACUUGAGUCCGGUAGGGGACCACGGAAUUCCUGGUGUAGCGGUGAAAUGCGUAGAGAUCAGGAAGAACACCGGUGGCGAAGGCGCUCUGCUAGGCCGCAACUGACGCUGAGGGACGAAAGCUAGGGGAGCGAAUGGG